GGAAUAACGUCGAGAAAUCGGCGCUAAUACCUCAUUAAUGCAGCGGACCCGCAUGGGUAUUGUUGUUAAAGGUUUACCGCCUUGGGAUAGGCUUGCGUCUGAUUAGCUAGUUGGUGUGGUAACGGCACACCAAGGCUACGAUCAGUAACUGGUCUGAGAGGAUGAUCAGUCACACUGGAACUGAGACACGGUCCAGACUCCUACGGGAGGCAGCAGUGAGGAAUAUUGGGCAAUGCACGAAAGUGUGACCCAGCAACGCCGCGUGGAGGAUGAAGGUAUUCUAUAUCGUAAACUCCUGUGAGAGCAGACGAAAGACAGAUUAUUAAUUUGGAUGACUGUAUGCUCAGAGGAAGCCCCGGCUAACUACGUG
RNAcentral lists this ribosomal RNA (370 nucleotides) under uncultured bacterium. RNAcentral describes it as "bacterial SSU rRNA". It matches the Rfam family "Bacterial small subunit ribosomal RNA", at positions 140 to 507 of the family's 1533-position model. The record is from RNAcentral.